UACGAAGGGUGCAAACGUUGCUCGGAAUUAUUGGGCGUAAAGCGCACGUAGGCGGCUCUAUAAGUCGGAUGUGAAAUCCCUCGGCUUAACCAAGGAAGUGCAUCCGAAACUGCAGAGCUUGAGUACUUAAGAGGAUCGCGGAAUUCCCGGUGUAGAGGUGAAAUUCGUAGAUAUCGGGAGGAACACCAGUGGCGAAGGCGGCGACCUGGGCCAAUACUGACGCUGAGGUGCGAAAGCGUGGGGAGCAAACAGG
This 253-nucleotide ribosomal RNA is filed under the name uncultured bacterium. RNAcentral's name for it is "partial 16S ribosomal RNA". It matches the Rfam family "Bacterial small subunit ribosomal RNA", at positions 524 to 776 of the family's 1533-position model. The record is from RNAcentral.